This 482-nucleotide ribosomal RNA is filed under the name uncultured bacterium. RNAcentral describes it as "partial 16S ribosomal RNA". It matches the Rfam family "Bacterial small subunit ribosomal RNA", at positions 30 to 507 of the family's 1533-position model. The record is from RNAcentral.
AUUGAACGCUGGCGGCAUGCUUUACACAUGCAAGUCGAACGGUAACAGCACUUCGGUGGCUGACGAGUGGCGCACGGGUGAGUAAUACAUCGGAACGUGCCUAGUAGUGGGGGAUAACUACUCGAAAGAGUAGCUAAUACCGCAUGAGAUCUAAGGAUGAAAGCAGGGGACCUUCGGGCCUUGCGCUACUAGAGCGGCUGAUGGCAGAUUAGGUAGUUGGUGGGAUAAAAGCUUACCAAGCCGACGAUCUGUAGCUGGUCUGAGAGGACGACCAGCCACACUGGGACUGAGACACGGCCCAGACUCCUACAGGAGGCAGCAGUGGGGAAUUUUGGACAAUGGGCGCAAGCCUGAUCCAGCAAUGCCGCGUGCAGGAUGAAGGCCUUCGGGUUGUAAACUGCUUUUGUACGGAACGAAAAGCCCUCUUCUAAUACAGGAGGGUCAUGACGGUACCGUAAGAAUAAGCACCGGCUAACUACGUG